RNAcentral lists this ribosomal RNA (491 nucleotides) under uncultured bacterium. RNAcentral's name for it is "partial 16S ribosomal RNA". It matches the Rfam family "Bacterial small subunit ribosomal RNA", at positions 29 to 506 of the family's 1533-position model. The record is from RNAcentral.
AGUGAACGCUGGCGGUAGGCCUAACACAUGCAAGUCGAACGGCAGCACAGUAAGAGCUUGCUCUUACGGGUGGCGAGUGGCGGACGGGUGAGGAAUACAUCGGAAUCUACUUUUUCGUGGGGGAUAACGUAGGGAAACUUACGCUAAUACCGCAUACGACCUACGGGUGAAAGCAGGGGAUCUUCGGACCUUGCGCGAUUGAAUGAGCCGAUGUCGGAUUAGCUAGUUGGCGGGGUAAAGGCCCACCAAGGCGACGAUCCGUAGCUGGUCUGAGAGGAUGAUCAGCCACACUGGAACUGAGACACGGUCCAGACUCCUACGGGAGGCAGCAGUGGGGAAUAUUGGACAAUGGGCGCAAGCCUGAUCCAGCCAUACCGCGGGGGUGAAGAAGGCCUUCGGGUUGUAAAGCCCUUUUGUUGGGAAAGAAAAGCAGCAGGUUAAGACCCCGCUGUUCUGACGGUACCCAAAGAAUAAGCACAGGCGAACUUCGU